CCAGACUCCUACGGGAGGCAGCAGUGAGGAAUAUUGGUCAAUGGGCGGGAGCCUGAACCAGCCAAGUCGCGUGAGGGACGACGGUCCUAUGGAUUGUAAACCUCUUUUGUCGGGGAACAAAGGCGCCCACGGGUGGGCGGAUGAGUGUACCUGAAGAAAAAGCAUCGGCUAACUACGUGCCAGCAGCCGCGGUAAUACGUAGGGAGCGAGCGUUGUCCGGAAUUACUGGGUGUAAAGGGAGCGUAGGCGGGACGGCAAGUCAGAUGUGAAAACUGAGGGCUCAACUUUCAGACUGCAUUUGAAACUGCUGUUCUUGAGUGAAGUAGAGGUAAGCGGAAUUCCUAGUGUAGCGGUGAAAUGCGUAGAUAUUAGGAGGAACAUCGGUGGCGAAGGCGGCUUACUGGGCUUUUACUGACGCUGAGGCUCGAAAGCGUGGGGAGCAAACAGGAUUAGAUACCCCAGUA
This 464-nucleotide ribosomal RNA is filed under the name uncultured bacterium. RNAcentral's name for it is "bacterial SSU rRNA". It matches the Rfam family "Bacterial small subunit ribosomal RNA", at positions 331 to 792 of the family's 1533-position model. The record is from RNAcentral.